This 468-nucleotide ribosomal RNA is filed under the name uncultured bacterium. RNAcentral describes it as "partial 16S ribosomal RNA". It matches the Rfam family "Bacterial small subunit ribosomal RNA", at positions 28 to 507 of the family's 1533-position model. The record is from RNAcentral.
GACGAACGCUGGCGGCGUGCUUAACACAUGCAAGUCGAACGGAAAGGCCCUGCUUUUGUGGGGUGCUCGAGUGGCGAACGGGUGAGUAACACGUGAGUAUCCUGCCCUUGACUUUGGGAUAACUUCAGGAAACUGGGGCUAAUACCGGAUAGGAGCUCCUGCUGCAUGGUGGGGGUUGGAAAGUUUCGGCGGUUGGGGAUGGACUCGCGGCUUAUCAGCUUGUUGGUGGGGUAGUGGCUUACCAAGGCUUUGACGGGUAGCCGGCCUGAGAGGGUGACCGGCCACAUUGGGACUGAGAUACGGCCCAGACUCCUACGGGAGGCAGCAGUGGGGAAUAUUGCACAAUGGGCGGAAGCCUGAUGCAGCAACGCCGCGUGCGGGAUGACGGCCUUCGGGUUGUAAACCGCUUUCGCCUGUGACGAAGCGUGAGUGACGGUAAUGGGUAAAGAAGCACCGGCUAACUACGUG